UAUACGACCGUACCGCAAACCGACACUGGUGCGCAAGAUGAGUAUUCUAAGGCGCUUGAGAGAACUCAGGAGAAGGAACUCGGCAAAUUGACACCGUAACUUCGGAAGAAGGUGUGCCCUAUUAGUGUGUAGUGAACAACGAAGCAUGAAUGGGUUGCAAAAAAUCGGUGGCUGCGACUGUUUAUUAAAAACACAGCACUCUGCAAACACGAAAGUGGACGUAUAGGGUGUGACGCCUGCCCGGUGCUGGAAGAUUAAAUGAUGGGGUGCAAGCUCUUGAUUGAAGUCCCAGUAAACGGCGGCCGUAACAAUAACGGUCCUAAGGUAGCGAAAUUCCUUGUCGGGCAAGUUCCGACCUGCACGAAUGGCGUAACGAUGGCCACACUGUCUCCUCCUGAGACUCAGCGAAGUUGAAAUGUUUGUGAUGAUGCAAUCUCCCCGCGGAAAGACGGAAAGACCCCAUGAACCUUUACUGUAGCUUUGUAUUGGACUUUGAACAGAUCUGUGUAGGAUAGGUGGGAGGCUUUGAAGCAGGGUCGCUAGAUCUUGUGGAGCCAACGUUGAAAUACCACCCUGGUGUGUUUGAGGUUCUAACCUAGGUCCAUUAUCUGGAUCGGGGACAGUGCAUGGUAGGCAGUUUGACUGGGGCGGUCUCCUCCCAAAGCGUAACGGAGGAGUUCGAAGGUACGCUAGUUACGGUCGGACAUCGUGACGAUAGUGCAAUGGCAUAAGCGUGCUUAACUGCGAGACUGACAAGUCGAGCAGAUGCGAAAGCAGGACAUAGUGAUCCGGUGGUUCUGUAUGGAAGGGCCAUCGCUCAACGGAUAAAAGGUACUCUGGGGAUAACAGGCUGAUACCGCCCAAGAGUUCAUAUCGACGGCGGUGUUUGGCACCUCGAUGUCGGCUCAUCUCAUCCUGGGGCUGUAGCCGGUCCCAAGGGUAUGGCUGUUCGCCAUUUAAAGAGGUACGUGAGCUGGGUUUAAAACGUCGUGAGACAGUUUGGUCCCUAUCUUCCGUGGGCGCUGCAGAUUUGAGGAAGCCUGCUCCUAGUACGAGAGGACCGGAGUGGACACACCUCUGGUGUAUCGGUUGUCACGCCAGUGGCAUUGCCGAGUAGCUAAGUGUGAAGAGAUAACCGCUGAAAGCAUCUAAGCGGGAAACUCGUUUCAAGAUGAGAUCUGCCGGGGCCUUGAGCCCCCUAAAGAGUCGUUCAAGACCAGGACGUUGAUAGGUCAGGUGUGGAAGCG
This 1247-nucleotide ribosomal RNA is filed under the name metagenome. Its description in RNAcentral is "bacterial LSU rRNA". It matches the Rfam family "Bacterial large subunit ribosomal RNA", at positions 1635 to 2875 of the family's 2925-position model. The record is from RNAcentral.